CAUCAGUAUUCACAAUAGCAAAGAUGUGGAAUCAACCUAAGUGCUCAUCAAUGACAGGUGAGGUGUCAGAUGCCCACAAGCUAGAGAACCAGAAGCUGAAGCUGACCAAAGCAGCAGCUCGGGCUGAGACUGAACAGUUCUGCCUACAGAGGGAGGAAGAGUUCAAGGCCAAGGAAGCCAUGGCACUAGUAUCCCAUGGCAGCUGCAGCAAUGAAGUGGAGAGGGCGACCCAGGAAAAAAGACUUUACUCCAGAUCUACUUCCCACUGGGCAUAUAUGAAGUCUUGAUUAACCUCUUGGCCUUUGUCUGCAACAUCUGGCCAUAAAUCUAUAAAACUACUGCAUAAAUA
Molecule: long non-coding RNA, 349 nt
Filed under: Homo sapiens (human)
Lineage: Eukaryota; Metazoa; Chordata; Mammalia; Primates; Hominidae
Description: non-protein coding lnc-SLC10A2-2:1
Source: RNAcentral